RNAcentral lists this ribosomal RNA (406 nucleotides) under uncultured Alphaproteobacteria bacterium. RNAcentral describes it as "bacterial SSU rRNA". It matches the Rfam family "Bacterial small subunit ribosomal RNA", at positions 83 to 524 of the family's 1533-position model. The record is from RNAcentral. Lineage: Bacteria; Pseudomonadati; Pseudomonadota; Alphaproteobacteria.
CCUUCGGGUGGAGCGGCGGACGGGUUAGUAACGCGUGGGAACGUACCCAGAUCUAAGGAAUAGCCACUGGAAACGGUGAGUAAUACCUUAUACGCCCUUCGGGGGAAAGAUUUAUCGGAUUUGGAUCGGCCCGCGUUAGAUUAGAUAGUUGGUGGGGUAAUGGCCUACCAAGUCUACGAUCUAUAGCUGGUUUUAGAGGAUGAUCAGCAACACUGGGACUGAGACACGGCCCAGACUCCUACGGGAGGCAGCAGUGGGGAAUCUUGGACAAUGGGCGCAAGCCUGAUCCAGCCAUGCCGCGUGAGUGAUGAAGGCCUUAGGGUCGUAAAGCUCUUUCGCCAGAGAUGAUAAUGACAGUAUCUGGUAAAGAAACCCCGGCUAACUCCGUGCCAGCAGCCGCGGUAAU